Molecule: ribosomal RNA, 130 nt
Filed under: Fukomys damarensis (Damara mole-rat)
Lineage: Eukaryota; Metazoa; Chordata; Mammalia; Rodentia; Bathyergidae
Source: RNAcentral
GUCUACGGCCGUACCACCCCGAAUGCGCCCGAUCUCGGACGCUAAGCAGGGUCGGGCCUGGUUAGUACUUGGAUGCGAGAUGUCUUUCCACACAGAUAACACUGUCUGGACUCUUCUUCUGCAGUAGGAA